AUUGAACGCUGGCGGCUUGCCUUACACAUGCAAGUCGAACGGCAGCACGGGAGCAAUCCUGGUGGCGAGUGGCGAACGGGUGAGUAAAGUAUCGGAACGUGCCCAGUCGUGGGGGAUAACGUAGCGAAAGCUACGCUAAUACCGCAUACGAUCUAUGGAUGAAAGCGGGGGAUCGCAAGACCUCGCGCGAUUGGAGCGGCCGAUAUCAGAUUAGGUAGUUGGUGGGGUAAAGGCUCACCAAGCCGACGAUCUGUAGCUGGUCUGAGAGGACGACCAGCCACACUGGGACUGAGACACGGCCCAGACUCCUACGGGAGGCAGCAGUGGGGAAUUUUGGACAAUGGGCGAAAGCCUGAUCCAGCCAUGCCGCGUGCAGGAUGAAGGCCUUCGGGUUGUAAACUGCUUUUGUACAGAACGAAAAGGUUUCUACUAAUACUAGGAGCUCAUGACGGUACUGUAAGAAUAAGCACCGGCUAACUACGUGCCAGCCGCCGCGGUAA
RNAcentral lists this ribosomal RNA (500 nucleotides) under uncultured bacterium. Its description in RNAcentral is "partial 16S ribosomal RNA". It matches the Rfam family "Bacterial small subunit ribosomal RNA", at positions 30 to 523 of the family's 1533-position model. The record is from RNAcentral.